RNAcentral lists this ribosomal RNA (1203 nucleotides) under Serratia marcescens. Its description in RNAcentral is "bacterial SSU rRNA". It matches the Rfam family "Bacterial small subunit ribosomal RNA", at positions 8 to 1201 of the family's 1533-position model. The record is from RNAcentral. Lineage: Bacteria; Pseudomonadati; Pseudomonadota; Gammaproteobacteria; Enterobacterales; Yersiniaceae.
AGAGUUUGAUCAUGGCUCAGAUUGAACGCUGGCGGCAGGCUUAACACAUGCAAGUCGAGCGGUAGCACAGGGGAGCUUGCUCCCUGGGUGACGAGCGGCGGACGGGUGAGUAAUGUCUGGGAAACUGCCUGAUGGAGGGGGAUAACUACUGGAAACGGUAGCUAAUACCGCAUAACGUCGCAAGACCAAAGAGGGGGACCUUCGGGCCUCUUGCCAUCAGAUGUGCCCAGAUGGGAUUAGCUAGUAGGUGGGGUAAUGGCUCACCUAGGCGACGAUCCCUAGCUGGUCUGAGAGGAUGACCAGCCACACUGGAACUGAGACACGGUCCAGACUCCUACGGGAGGCAGCAGUGGGGAAUAUUGCACAAUGGGCGCAAGCCUGAUGCAGCCAUGCCGCGUGUGUGAAGAAGGCCUUCGGGUUGUAAAGCACUUUCAGCGAGGAGGAAGGUGGUGAGCUUAAUACGUUCAUCAAUUGACGUUACUCGCAGAAGAAGCACCGGCUAACUCCGUGCCAGCAGCCGCGGUAAUACGGAGGGUGCAAGCGUUAAUCGGAAUUACUGGGCGUAAAGCGCACGCAGGCGGUUUGUUAAGUCAGAUGUGAAAUCCCCGGGCUCAACCUGGGAACUGCAUUUGAAACUGGCAAGCUAGAGUCUCGUAGAGGGGGGUAGAAUUCCAGGUGUAGCGGUGAAAUGCGUAGAGAUCUGGAGGAAUACCGGUGGCGAAGGCGGCCCCCUGGACGAAGACUGACGCUCAGGUGCGAAAGCGUGGGGAGCAAACAGGAUUAGAUACCCUGGUAGUCCACGCUGUAAACGAUGUCGAUUUGGAGGUUGUGCCCUUGAGGCGUGGCUUCCGGAGCUAACGCGUUAAAUCGACCGCCUGGGGAGUACGGCCGCAAGGUUAAAACUCAAAUGAAUUGACGGGGGCCCGCACAAGCGGUGGAGCAUGUGGUUUAAUUCGAUGCAACGCGAAGAACCUUACCUACUCUUGACAUCCAGAGAACUUUCCAGAGAUGGAUUGGUGCCUUCGGGAACUCUGAGACAGGUGCUGCAUGGCUGUCGUCAGCUCGUGUUGUGAAAUGUUGGGUUAAGUCCCGCAACGAGCGCAACCCUUAUCCUUUGUUGCCAGCGGUUCGGCCGGGAACUCAAAGGAGACUGCCAGUGAUAAACUGGAGGAAGGUGGGGAUGACGUCAAGUCAUCAUGGCCC